RNAcentral lists this ribosomal RNA (412 nucleotides) under bacterium enrichment culture clone ALO1_GLFRUDD03HFSGF. Its description in RNAcentral is "bacterial SSU rRNA". It matches the Rfam family "Bacterial small subunit ribosomal RNA", at positions 9 to 424 of the family's 1533-position model. The record is from RNAcentral.
GAGUUUGAUCAUGGCUCAGAUUGAACGCUGGCGGCAUGCCUUACACAUGCAAGUCGAACGGCAGCACGGGAGCUUGCUCCUGGUGGCGAGUGGCGAACGGGUGAGUAAUGCAUCGGAACGUAUCCUGGAGUGGGGGAUAACGUAGCGAAAGUUACGCUAAUACCGCAUAUUCUGUGAGCAGGAAAGCGGGGGACCUUCGGGCCUCGCGCUCUUGGAGCGGCCGAUGUCGGAUUAGCUAGUUGGUGAGGUAAUGGCUCACCAAGGCGACGAUCCGUAGCAGGUCUGAGAGGAUGAUCUGCCACACUGGAACCGAGACACGGUCCAGACUCCUACGGGAGGCAGGCAGUGGGAAUUUGGACAAUGGGGGCAACCCUGAUCCAGCCAUGCCGCGUGAGUGAAGAAGGCCUCGGUU